UCUUUCGAGGUCGAUAAAUUAAGAACCAGAGAAACACUGGGUCGAUGCAACCGACUAGUACCCUACCAUCAAAUUCCAG
Long non-coding RNA from Octopus sinensis (East Asian common octopus), 79 nucleotides. RefSeq lists it as uncharacterized. The record is from RefSeq and is a predicted model, not a curated record. The transcript has 3 exons. Lineage: Eukaryota; Metazoa; Mollusca; Cephalopoda; Octopoda; Octopodidae.